This 212-nucleotide ribosomal RNA is filed under the name uncultured bacterium. RNAcentral describes it as "partial 16S ribosomal RNA". It matches the Rfam family "Bacterial small subunit ribosomal RNA", at positions 1281 to 1500 of the family's 1533-position model. The record is from RNAcentral.
GCCGUUCUCAGUUCGGAUCGGAGUCUGNAACCCGACUCCGUGAAGCUGGAUUCGCUAGUAAUCGCGCAUCAGCCAUGGCGCGGUGAAUACGUUCCCGGGCCUUGUACACACCGCCCGUCAAGCCAUGGAAGCCGGGGGCGCUUGAAGUGCGUUGCCGCAAGGCGCGCCCUAGAGCGAAACCGGUGACUGGGGCUAAGUCGUAACAAGGUAUC